Molecule: ribosomal RNA, 689 nt
Filed under: uncultured Microbacteriaceae bacterium
Lineage: Bacteria; Bacillati; Actinomycetota; Actinomycetes; Micrococcales; Microbacteriaceae
Description: bacterial SSU rRNA
Rfam family: Bacterial small subunit ribosomal RNA
Source: RNAcentral
GUGGCGAACGGGUGAGUAACACGGGAGCAAUCUGCCCUUGACUCUGGGAUAACUGCGGGAAACUGUAGCUAAUACCGGAUACUUUCCUCGCUGGGCAUCCAGCGGGGAAGAAAGAAUUUCGGUCAAGGAUGAGCUCGCGGCCUAUCAGCUAGUUGGUGAGGUAAUGGCUCACCAAGGCGACGACGGGUAGCCGGCCUGAGAGGGUGACCGGCCACACUGGAACUGAGACACGGUCCAGACUCCUACGGGAGGCAGCAGUGGGGAAUAUUGCACAAUGGGCGAAAGCCUGAUGCAGCAACGCCGCGUGAGGGAUGAAGGCCUUCGGGUUGUAAACCUCUUUUAGCAGGGAAGAAGCGAAAGUGACGGUACCUGCAGAAAAAGCACCGGCUAACUACGUGCCAGCAGCCGCGGUAAUACGUAGGGUGCAAGCGUUGUCCAGAAUUAUUGGGCGUAAAGAGCUCGUAGGCGGUUUGUCACGUCUGCUGUGAAAAUCCGAGGCUCAACCUCGGACUUGCAGUGGGUACGGGCAGGCUAGAGUGCGGUAGGGGAGAAGGGAAUUCCUGGUGUAGCGGUGGAAUGCGCAGAUAUCAGGAGGAACACCAAUGGCGAAGGCACUUCUCUGGGCCGUAACUGACGCUGAGGAGCGAAAGCGUGGGGAGCGAACAGGAUUAGAUACCCUGGUAGUCCAC